GUGGCGNACGGGUGAGUAAUGUCNNGGGAUCUGCCCGAUAGAGGGGGAUAACCACUGGAAACGGUGGCUAAUACCGCAUAACGUCGCAAGACCAAAGAGGGGGACCUUCGGGCCUCUCACUAUCGGAUGAACCCAGAUGGGAUUAGCUAGUAGGCGGGGUAAUGGCCCACCUAGGCGACGAUCCCUAGCUGGUCUGAGAGGAUGACCAGCCACACUGGAACUGAGACACGGUCCAGACUCCUACGGGAGGCAGCAGUGGGGAAUAUUGCACAAUGGGCGCAAGCCUGAUGCACCCAUGCCGCGUGUAUGAAAAAAGCCUUCGGGUUGUAAAGUACUUUCAGCGGGGAGGAAGGCGAUGGGGUUAAUAACCCCGUCGAUUGACGUUACCCGCAGAAAAAACACCGGCUAACUCCGUGCCACCACCCGCGGUAAUACGGAGGGUGCAAGCGUUAAUCGGAAUUACUGGGCGUAAAGCGCACGCAGGCGGUCUGUUAAGUCAGAUGUGAAAUCCCNGGGCUUAACCUGGGAACUGCAUUUGAAACUGGCAGGCUUGAGUCUUGUAGAGGGGGGUAGAAUUCCAGGUGUAGCGGUGAAAUGCGUAGAGAUCUGGAGGAAUACCGGUGGCGAAGGCGGCCCCCUGGACAAAGACUGACGCUCAGGUGCGAAAGCGUGGGGAGCAAACAGGAUUAGAUACCCUGGUAGUCCACGCCGUAAACGAUGUCGACUUGGAGGUUGUUCCCUUGAGGAGUGGCUUCCGGAGCUAACGCGUUAAGUCGACCGCCUGGGGAGUACGGCCGCAAGGUUAAAACUCAAAUGAAUUGACGGGGGCCCGCACAAGCGGUGGAGCAUGUGGUUUAAUUCGAUGCAACGCGAAGAACCUUACCUANNCUUGACNU
Molecule: small RNA, 896 nt
Filed under: Pantoea agglomerans
Lineage: Bacteria; Pseudomonadati; Pseudomonadota; Gammaproteobacteria; Enterobacterales; Erwiniaceae
Description: bacterial SSU rRNA
Rfam family: Bacterial small subunit ribosomal RNA
Source: RNAcentral